This 506-nucleotide ribosomal RNA is filed under the name uncultured bacterium. RNAcentral's name for it is "partial 16S ribosomal RNA". It matches the Rfam family "Bacterial small subunit ribosomal RNA", at positions 29 to 523 of the family's 1533-position model. The record is from RNAcentral.
AGUGAACGCUGGCGGUAGGCCUAACACAUGCAAGUCGAACGGCAGCACAGAGGAGCUUGCUCCUUGGGUGGCGAGUGGCGGACGGGUGAGGAAUACAUCGGAAUCUACUCUGUCGUGGGGGAUAACGUAGGGAAACUUACGCUAAUACCGCAUACGACCUACGGGUGAAAGCAGGGGACCUUCGGGCCUUGCGCGAUUGGAUGAGCCGAUGCCGGAUUAGCUAGUUGGCGGGGUAAAGGCCCACCAAGGCGACGAUCCGUAGCUGGUCUGAGAGGAUGAUCAGCCACACUGGAACGGAGACACGGUCCAGACUCCUACGGGAGGCAGCAGUGGGGAAUAUUGGACAAUGGGCGCAAGCCUGAUCCAGCCAUACCGCGUGGGUGAAGAAGGCCUUCGGGUUGUAAAGCCCUUUUGUUGGGAAAGAAAUCCAGCUGGUUAAUACCCGGUUGGGAUGACGGUACCCAAAGAAUAAGCACCGGCUAACUUCGUGCCAGCCGCCGCCGUAA